GAUGAACGCUGGCUACAGGCUUAACACAUGCAAGUCGAGGGGAAACGACGGGGAAGCUUGCUUCCCCGGGCGUCGACCGGCGCACGGGUGAGUAACGCGUAUCCAACCUGCCUCUGACUGAGGGAUAACCCGUCGAAAGUCGGCCUAAUACCUCAUGGUAUCGUCUGCGGGCAUCCAACGACGAUUAAAGAUUUCAUCGGUCAGGGAUGGGGAUGCGUCUGAUUAGCUUGUUGGCGGGGUAACGGCCCACCAAGGCUACGAUCAGUAGGGGUUCUGAGAGGAAGGUCCCCCACAUUGGAACUGAGACACGAGCCAAACUCCUACGGGAGGCAGCAGUGAGGAAUAUUGGUCAAUGGGCGAGAGCCUGAACCAGCCAAGUGGCGUGCAGGAAGACGGCCCUAUGGGUUGUAAACUGCUUUUAUGCGGGGAUAAAGUGAGGGACGUGUCCCUCAUUGCAGGUACCGCAUGAAUAAGGACCGGCUAAUUCCGUG
Molecule: ribosomal RNA, 491 nt
Filed under: uncultured bacterium
Lineage: Bacteria
Description: partial 16S ribosomal RNA
Rfam family: Bacterial small subunit ribosomal RNA
Source: RNAcentral